GUAGCUCAGCUGGAUAGAGGAACUGUCUUCUUAGCAGUAGAUCUCAGGUUCGAAUCCUGAC
Molecule: transfer RNA, 61 nt
Filed under: Flavobacterium enshiense DK69
Lineage: Bacteria; Pseudomonadati; Bacteroidota; Flavobacteriia; Flavobacteriales; Flavobacteriaceae
Description: Flavobacterium sp. DK69 tRNA
Rfam family: tRNA
About the family: Transfer RNA (tRNA) molecules are approximately 80 nucleotides in length. Their secondary structure includes four short double-helical elements and three loops (D, anti-codon, and T loops).
Source: Rfam by way of RNAcentral